AGUGAACGCUGGCGGUAGGCCUAACACAUGCAAGUCGAACGGCAGCACAGUAAGAGCUUGCUCUUACGGGUGGCGAGUGGCGGACGGGUGAGGAAUACAUCGGAAUCUACUUUUUCGUGGGGGAUAACGUAGGGAAACUUACGCUAAUACCGCAUACGACCUACGGGUGAAAGCAGGGGAUCUUCGGACCUUGCGCGAUUGAAUGAGCCGAUGUCGGAUUAGCUAGUUGGCGGGGUAGAGGCCCACCAAGGCGACGAUCCGUAGCUGGUCUGAGAGGAUGAUCAACCACACUGGAACUGAGACACGGUCCAGACUCCUACGGGAGGCAGCAGUGGGGAAUAUUGGACAAUGGGCGCAAGCCUGAUCCAGCCAUACCGCGUGGGUGAAGAAGGCCUUCGGGUUGUAAAGCCCUUUUGUUGGGAAAGAAAAGCAGCAGGUUAAUACCCCGCUGUUCUGACGGUACCCAAAGAAUAAGCACCGGCUAACUUCGUG
This 492-nucleotide ribosomal RNA is filed under the name uncultured bacterium. Its description in RNAcentral is "partial 16S ribosomal RNA". It matches the Rfam family "Bacterial small subunit ribosomal RNA", at positions 29 to 507 of the family's 1533-position model. The record is from RNAcentral.